UACAGAGGGGGCAAGCGUUGUUCGGAAUUACUGGGCGUAAAGGGCGCGUAGGCGGGGAGGUAAGUCGGGUGUGAAAUCCCUCGGCUCAACCGAGGAACUGCGCCCGAGACUGCCUUUCUUGAGUCCCGGAGAGGAAGGUGGAAUUCCCGGUGUAGCGGUGAAAUGUGUAGAGAUCGGGAGGAACACCGGUGGCGAAGGCGGCCUUCUGGACGGUGACUGACGCUGAGGCGCGAAAGCGUGGGGAGCAAACGGG
Molecule: ribosomal RNA, 253 nt
Filed under: uncultured bacterium
Lineage: Bacteria
Description: partial 16S ribosomal RNA
Rfam family: Bacterial small subunit ribosomal RNA
Source: RNAcentral